UGUAGUUCAUUUUUUGUUAAUCAGGAAUUAGUACAAGGUAAAAUAAUUAGCAUCUCAUUAAUUAAUUAGUCUCAAGUCGAAUAACUAACAAGCAAAUCUUUACUAAGUAUUGGUCUAGUGUUGAGAAGAAGGGUGGUUAUUCCCACCAACCGUGUUUGAUUAAUCCCAUUACAUAUAUACACAUGGGCUUUAAAGUUUCAAAACCAGUGCAUGUGCCAUAAAAUUCUAAGCGUAGUGGACACACACGCAUGUGUGUAUCAUGUGAUGUGAAUUCCACAUGAUGACAAACACCAAUAUAAUACACAUCAUUGUAGGGUUGCCUUGUGGCUAUGAGAUGCAUGUAGGUGCAGUAUGCCAUAUCUCAAAUAGAGCGCAUGCAAGUCUUAGAUCAUCAGCAAGUUUUGUGAGGUAAACAUACACGGAGAAUAUGGCAACCAAUAGUCGUAAGAGUGUGAUUAUGGGAGUAGUCAUAACAGUUCUUGUCAUACAGCAGGCCUAGGUAGAAGCCAAGAGCUGUUGUUGUUCCAUCUCGGGAAGAAACUGCUAUAACGCAUGCCGUGUCACGGGUGCCUCUCGCAAAACAUGUGCAAGGUUGUGUGGUUGCAAAAUUCUUGACAAGUGUGUGAGUCCUUGUGAUCGCUUCAAUCUUUACCCGGAAGCAGAAGUCAUUGAGUUUUGCAAGUUGGGAUGCAUGUCCUCCGUCUGCAACACCACAAACACUUGUGAACAAGGGAAAGAUGUCAUAGAGAAUUGCACAACUGGAUGCGAUCGUGUAUGUACCAAGGAUGUUGAAUUUGCCGCAGCUAUUGCAUAAGAAAGUCUAUACGCCGGGAUUUCAUGCCGAGAUAGUCGAAAUGUUCUUGUUGUCUUGAAUAAUUGGACAUCAUGUCCCGUCCAGUACCGUGUAAUCUUAUUUUUGUUUCUUUGCAUCUAUCGAAAAGGUGUGAUAGCUCCCGGGGUUCCAUUCCUUUCCAUAUAUUUCCAGUAAGGGUUUUGAUGGUGUGCCAUUUCCUUGCGAAAAUGUGCUCGUCAUUUUGUAAUAAUUGGAUACAGUAUCCAAUAAAAUGUGUCAACUUAUUGUGUUUUAUGGCUUUUCAAUAAAUGAAUAUUCAGUUACGCUA
Long non-coding RNA from Triticum aestivum (bread wheat), 1121 nucleotides. RefSeq lists it as uncharacterized. The record is from RefSeq and is a predicted model, not a curated record. Lineage: Eukaryota; Viridiplantae; Streptophyta; Magnoliopsida; Poales; Poaceae. The transcript is spliced from 3 exons.